AGAAUGACUCUCGGCAACGGAUAUCUAGGCUCUUGCAUCGAUGAAGAACGUAGCGAAAUGCGAUACUUGGUGUGAAUUGCAGAAUCCCGUGAACCAUCGAGUCUUUGAACGCAAGUUGCGCCCGAUGCCAUUAGGUUGAGGGCAUGUCUGCCUGGGCGUCACAU
RNAcentral lists this ribosomal RNA (164 nucleotides) under Trifolium palaestinum. RNAcentral describes it as "5.8S ribosomal RNA". It matches the Rfam family "5.8S ribosomal RNA". Rfam says of the family: 5.8S ribosomal RNA (5.8S rRNA) is a component of the large subunit of the eukaryotic ribosome. It is transcribed by RNA polymerase I as part of the 45S precursor that also contains 18S and 28S rRNA. Lineage: Eukaryota; Viridiplantae; Streptophyta; Magnoliopsida; Fabales; Fabaceae. The record is from RNAcentral.